Long non-coding RNA from Amphimedon queenslandica, 511 nucleotides. RefSeq lists it as uncharacterized. Lineage: Eukaryota; Metazoa; Porifera; Demospongiae; Haplosclerida; Niphatidae. The record is from RefSeq and is a predicted model, not a curated record. The transcript is spliced from 5 exons.
GCCAACAAAGAGGUCAAGUUUCUUCUUAAAUCCGCCCGUUCUGCUCUAGAUAGAGAAGACUAUCCUGAGACUAUCAAACAAUGCCAGGCUAUAUUCUGGCAUGAUGACACUCAUUAUCUUGCUCAUGUGUUGUGUGGUAAAGCUCAUUUACUGUUGAAAGAAAUAGGAGAGGCCAGACACCAGUAUAGGAUAGCAAUAACCUCUAAUGAGAAGGAAAUACUGGCCUGGAAGGGCUUGGCAGAUUUGUAUGAUAAGUACAGCCCAGAGGAUAAAGAUGAAAAGUUUGAAGCAAUAAAGACUUAUAAUCAUAUACUAAACACUGUGACUGGAGACGGAGAAAAAGAAUUCAAUUUGUAUUGUAAACUUGCUCCAUUAUAUGUGGAUGUAGGCCAAUUAGAAAAGGCAGCUGGAGCUUAUUUAUAUCUUUUAGUCUCUCCCUCUGCCUCUGGUUCCAUUACUGAAAGGUCAUUAUUAUUCCUACUACGUCAUCCUCAAUAUUCCCAGACCCAGU